UCCUUCCUGGACACAAGUAACCGGAUAUGGGUUAAACGCGCGCCACUCCACACUCAUCAAUGAUGAUUUUGACUAAAGUUUGGAAAUGACGCAGAAACAUCAUAAUGGCAAAAGGAAAAAACGGAGAAAGGAUGAAAAGGGGAAAAGGGGGAAAUGGGGAGAGAGGGUGAGGGGCAGGAAGAGGAGAGGAGAAAAUGAGAGACGUGGGGGAGGAAACAGUGAGGGACUCAGAGUGAGGAGUGGGGGCGGGGAGAGCCAAGAGGAAGCUCUGCCCAGUUUCUAUGGAAACGCCCCAUCCCAGAGUCUGGAUGUGGUCUCUAGAAUCUGCCUCCCCAUUGAUUUCCGGUUUCGGUGAUUGGCUUACUCGUCGUCCAAUCAUCUUCGCUCGUUUCCGUUGUUCGCUGGGUGCUUCCGGUCUUGUAAGAAGUAAGAAGUGAGAUGGCGCCUCCUGAGCUCCAGCUCCUGAGAUAAACUCUGCGGGAGGUCCGUGAUCUCUUUCCAUGGAGAACCCCCACGGCGUUAAGGGUAGUGGGCAAUCUGAAGAACUGAAGCCAUCAUGCCUUGAGAGGUUAGUUAGUGUUUCUG
Molecule: long non-coding RNA, 585 nt
Organism: Sarcophilus harrisii (Tasmanian devil)
Lineage: Eukaryota; Metazoa; Chordata; Mammalia; Dasyuromorphia; Dasyuridae
Exons: 3
Source: RefSeq, a predicted model, not a curated record